UAUAGCAUAAUGUUCUCUACAAAACACGGUAAACAGGGGUAAAUGUCAAACAUAAAGCUACAAUUUUAUAACGUUAGUUAGAAGUAAAAACUUAUGUAUAUUUUGAGGACAUAAAUUCUUAAAGAGAAGAAGAGGCACUAGACACUAUCAAUGCGAUGGGGCCGCUAGACACAAGCGAUAAUGUAGGCAUGUUGGUCGCUUCUCUGAUUUGGACAGAGACAGAGUUAUAUCACAACUCCAAACGCGCUCCCAAGUGUACAUGUACAAAAAUAUAAGAUAAAAAUUAGCACAAACCUUAAGCCAAAUCAGUGAACAGAAUGAUACAGGUACUUUAUCAUUUUCUAAAAUCAAACAAAGAUCCUAACUAAUCCAAUAUGGUUUAGUCAUUCACGUUUUGGACAAAGAACUUACACCGUGUGCAAUGAAGCUGCAAGACAGU
This 439-nucleotide long non-coding RNA is filed under the name Solanum tuberosum (potato). Its description in RNAcentral is "long non-coding RNA (STUB_LNC003940)". The record is from RNAcentral. Lineage: Eukaryota; Viridiplantae; Streptophyta; Magnoliopsida; Solanales; Solanaceae.